UACAGAGGUCUCAAGCGUUGUUCGGAUUCAUUGGGCGUAAAGGGUGCGUAGGCGGCGCGGUAAGUCGGGUGUGAAAUCUUGGAGCUUAACUCCGAAACUGCAUUCGAUACUGCCGUGCUUGAGGACUGGAGAGGAGACUGGAAUUUACGGUGUAGCGGUGAAAUGCGUAGAUAUCGUAAGGAGGACCAGUGGCGAAGGCGGGUCUCUGGACAGUUCCUGACGCUGAGGCACGAAGGCCAGGGGAGCAAACGGG
This 253-nucleotide ribosomal RNA is filed under the name uncultured bacterium. RNAcentral describes it as "partial 16S ribosomal RNA". It matches the Rfam family "Bacterial small subunit ribosomal RNA", at positions 524 to 776 of the family's 1533-position model. The record is from RNAcentral.